GAUUAUUGGGGCGUAAGGGCUCGCAGGCGGUUUCUUAAGUCUGAUGUGAAAGCCCCCGGCUCAACCGGGGAGGGUCAUUGGAAACUGGGAAACUUGAGUGCACAAGAGGAGAGUGGAAUUCCACGUGUAGCGGUGAAAUGCGUAGAGAUGUGGAGGAACACCAGUGGCGAAGGCGACUCUCUGGUCUGUAACUGACGCUGAGGAGCGAAAGCGUGGGGAGCGAACAGGAUUAGAUACCCUGGUAGUCCACGCCGUAAACGAUGAGUGCUAAGUGUUAGGGGGUUUCCGCCCCCUAGUGCUGCAGCUAACGCAUUAAUAACUCCGCCUGGGGAGUACUGUCGCAAGACUGAUACUCAACGGAAUUGAUGGCGGCCCG
This 376-nucleotide ribosomal RNA is filed under the name Bacillus subtilis. Its description in RNAcentral is "bacterial SSU rRNA". It matches the Rfam family "Bacterial small subunit ribosomal RNA", at positions 547 to 923 of the family's 1533-position model. The record is from RNAcentral. Lineage: Bacteria; Bacillati; Bacillota; Bacilli; Caryophanales; Bacillaceae.